GGGAAAGUUGAAAAGUACUUUGAAGAGAGAGUUAAACAGGGCGUGAAACCGCUAGCUGGUAAACGAGUGGAGCCACGAAGUCGUUUCGUAGAAUAAAGAAUACAAAUUCAGUUGAGGUUAUCGAAAGAUGGCUUUAAUGCACUUUUGUUUAUUCUUCUAUGUAAGCGUACACUGCAACCAAUUAGACAAUUAAUUGUGGAAACAAUUAGCUAACACAGGGAGAAAUCUUUGUAUUAGUUAAUGAAAUGCUUGUAUAUCUUCUAUAGGUUGCUCGAUUUGGUCCUUGUGGCUAUCUUGAGUGUAUGAUAGUUGAUAUGUGAACUACAAUUAAAUACUGAUUGGCUCAAUGAAAAUCCAUUUUCAAUGGUUCCUAGAUAAUACUGCUUAUAUUGUAUGCACGUACAAGUAUUUAUUACUAGCGUAAGCUUAGUAGUUUUAAAUUUAGACUAUCUGGCUAGUUUUGAUUUCGGUCAUUGCUGCUUGUAUAGCUUUCUAUCUAAUUGGCUAUUAACUUUGUUAGUAAUUUUGUACUUGUUAUGAUUGCAUGUAUGCGAUAAUAAGUAAGUUAUUUUAUUGGCAGUGAGUAGGUCGGCUUUCCACACGACCC
Molecule: ribosomal RNA, 607 nt
Filed under: Trisetacus maculatus
Lineage: Eukaryota; Metazoa; Arthropoda; Arachnida; Trombidiformes; Phytoptidae
Description: Trisetacus sp. 1 PEC-2019 partial large subunit ribosomal RNA
Source: RNAcentral